GAUGAACGCUGGCGGCGUGCUUAACACAUGCAAGUCGAACGGAAAGACGAGGAUCUUGCUGGUUGCACGUUGGGGGCGGACGGGUGAAACACCCGAGGAUACCCUCCCUAUAAGACUGGGAUAACUACGGGAAACUGGAUAUAACACAGGAUAAUAUAUUGAACCGCAUGGUUCAUUGGAGAAAGACGGUUUUGCUGGCACGAAUGGAUGGUUGCGAGCUGGUUUAGCUAGUUGGUACGGUAACGGCCUACCAAGGCGACGAUGCGUAGCCGACCUGAGAGGACGAUCGGCCACACUGGAACUGAGACACGGCCCAGACGCCUACGGGAGGCAGCAGUGGGGAAUCUUCGGCAAUGGGCGAAAGCCUGACGGAGCAACGCCGCGUGUGUGAUGAAGGUCUUCGGAUCGUAAAGCUCUGUUAUUGGGUAAGAACAAAUGUGUACGUAACCAAGGACUUCUUGACGGUACCGGAUCAAAAAGCCCCGGCUAACUACGUG
RNAcentral lists this ribosomal RNA (497 nucleotides) under uncultured bacterium. RNAcentral describes it as "partial 16S ribosomal RNA". It matches the Rfam family "Bacterial small subunit ribosomal RNA", at positions 28 to 507 of the family's 1533-position model. The record is from RNAcentral.